UGGGGAAUUUUGGACAAUGGGCGCAAGCCUGAUCCAGCCAUGCCGCGUGCAGGAUGAAGGCCUUCGGGUUGUAAACUGCUUUUGUACGGAACGAAAAGGUGCCUUCUAAUAAAGGGCGCUCAUGACGGUACCGUAAGAAUAAGCACCGGCUAACUACGUGCCAGCAGCCGCGGUAAUACGUAGGGUGCGAGCGUUACUCGGAAUUACUGGGCGUAAAGCGUGCGCAGGCGGUUUUGUAAGACAGAGGUGAAAUCCCCGGGCUCAACCUGGGAACUGCCUUUGUGACUGCAAGGCUGGAGUGCGGCAGAGGGGGAUGGAAUUCCGCGUGUAGCAGUGAAAUGCGUAGAUAUGCGGAGGAACACCGAUGGCGAAGGCAAUCCCCUGGGCCUGCACUGACGCUCAUGCACGAAAGCGUGGGGAGCAAACA
RNAcentral lists this ribosomal RNA (427 nucleotides) under uncultured bacterium. RNAcentral describes it as "bacterial SSU rRNA". It matches the Rfam family "Bacterial small subunit ribosomal RNA", at positions 355 to 774 of the family's 1533-position model. The record is from RNAcentral.